This 337-nucleotide unclassified non-coding RNA is filed under the name fungal sp. Its description in RNAcentral is "partial internal transcribed spacer region". The stretch from base 1 to 46 matches the Rfam family "Eukaryotic small subunit ribosomal RNA", at positions 1786 to 1831 of the family's 1831-position model. Lineage: Eukaryota; Fungi. The record is from RNAcentral.
AAGUCGUAACAAGGUCUCCGUAGGGGAACCUGCGGAGGGAUCAUUUCUGUUUAAGGUGGGUUUGGGAUUGGAGGGUGUUGUUGCUUUAACCAUUGGCUUAGCAAUAAGACAAUGGAGCGAGUGGCAUAUGUCUUUUUUUCCCUUACCCAUUCACAAAAAGUUGGAUGUGCUCUUAAUCAAAAAUGGGGGGAAUCGUGUAUGUGUGUGGGGGGUGCAAACCUCUUGUGCAUAGGCAUCUCCCCCUGUUUUCAAUAAACUGUCAUCAAGGUAUCCUUAACUGAAUCCGAUACAAGAAAUCUAAACUUGACAACUAUCAACGGCGGAUCUCUUGGUUCGU